GGGCAAUGGCGGGCGCCCCUCCCCCAGCCUCGCUGCCGCCUUGCAGUUUGAUCUCAGACUGCUGUGCUAGCAAUCAGCAAGUCUCCGUGGGCGUAGGACCCUCCGAGCCAGGUGCAGGAUUUAAUCUCGUGGUGCGCCGUUUUUUUAAGCCGGUCGGAAAAGCGCAAUAUUCGGGUGGGAGUGACCCGAUUUUCCAGAAUGUCUCUCUGGCUUCCUCUCCCUCUCAGAGACCCAAUUUGGAACUGAAACCCUGAGUACAGCAAAACUGCAUUUCCCAAGCUCCUCUUCUCUCAAUGGGUCACAUGACUUGUUCUAGCCAAUAGAACGAGGGUGGAAGUAAUGUGACCACUUUCAGGUGUCCCCUAAAGUCUCCUGUGAGAUCUUCCAAUCUUGCUCUCCUCACUCUGCAUGGCUGGAAAUGAAUACUCUGAUAUCUGAAACAACAUGAUGAAGGAGCCAGGAUGCCUAAGUUCACCACUUAGAGAAGAGACAGCUUGAAGAGUCAUUCUGGAGAACUGGCUGACCAAACUCAUUGGAUUGUAACAGAAUAUAAACCUUUUAUUCUGAUAUGCCAGAGGCACAUUAUGGAUUGUAUUACAAUGACUAGCAUUAGCUGUCCUGAUUAAUAGACACUGUGACAAGAUUCUUUAUUGCUAAAAGAAAAAAAAAGCAAUGGCUGAUACCUGAUUAACAGACACUGUGACAAGAUUUUUUAUUGCUAAAAGAAAAAAAAAAAGCAAUGGCUGAUACCAUUUAAAAUAAAACUUACAAUUAAGGCAAUUCAGUUUGAAAUGUGUUUAUGAAGUUAUUUCAUAGCACUAAUUACAGUUCUAACAAUAUGUAUUUCUGUAGGUGUAUUUUCAAUUCUCUACUAAGUAGUAAGCUCUGUGAGACUGGAAGUUGUACAUGUUUUGUUCUUCACUGCAGAGGUCAUACUCCUCAGAGUACAGGACCCAUGGUGGGAAAUAUUAGCUUCAUGAAUGAGUGAAUGAAUGACUACACACAAGGUUUGAUAAUUAGCAUCCAGAAUAACAAAGAUAUAUACAAUGAAUUAAUGAUUCAUAGUGAGGCUUAGUCAAGUAUACAAAAAGAACAAGAUGAAAUGCAACAUAAUUGUGAUAUUGUGAAGUGUAUACUUGGUCUUCACCCCUGUUUACUGUCAUACACACAAUUCCUAAGAUGCUUGGAAUCUCCAAAGUGUUGUCUUUUUGUAUGCUAAUGUUCACUGAUAGCUUCAGGAUGGAGGUGGUCACCAGAAGGACAAAGGCAUGAUUAUAGGGUUGGAACUUCUGGGCCCACCUCCCCAACUUCCAGGGAGAAGAGCGGGGCUGAAAGACAGACUGAUCAGCAAUGGCCUGUGGUUUGAUCAUAAUGAAGCCUCCAUAAAAACCCAAGUUGACAGAGUUUGGCAAGCUUUUAGAUAGCUGAACACAUGGAGGCUCCCAGAGGAUGGCAUGCCCAGUGAGGGCAUGGAAGCUUCACACCCCUUUCUUCAUACCUUACCAUACACAUCUCUUCAUCUAUAUUCUUUGUAAUAUCUUUUAUAAUAAACCAGUAAAUGUA
This 1563-nucleotide long non-coding RNA is filed under the name Homo sapiens (human). RNAcentral describes it as "PREDICTED lncRNA (TCONS_00243409)". The record is from RNAcentral. Lineage: Eukaryota; Metazoa; Chordata; Mammalia; Primates; Hominidae.